AACAAAUCCUUCUACGCUGCAUACAAACACGUUACCACAGUCUGGAGUACUGUUGGAGAGUGAACCGAGACAGCCGCGGGGCGGUCCUUCGGCGAAACCAACGAGACGUUAAAUAUUUGCGAUAAUAUUGUAUAGUGCAAGUAUGAUAAAGACCGGUAACAAAAGUAUAGCGGAAAUUGAAAACCAAGUGCAAAAUCUUCCAACGAGCAAAAGGUGUUACCCAAGCACGUCAGAUGCAUCAACCGAAGCAAAAAUGUUUAAACGCAGAUGAAAAGCUUAUUGGAAGAAAAGUAAAUUUAAGGCCAACGAUUGGAGGAAGGAAAAAGUUUGAUGGGGCAGAUCCAUUAUGUUACACCUUGACUUUGUCGGCAAUCAAGUCAAGUCAAGUGCCGAGGGCGCGCCAAGGUGGGUAAAGAAAGAGACAAGAGCAAUACCGUGACGAUCGGAAAAACCAUUACCGAGAAAUAAGGAAGGCCGGUAAAUGGAAUGAAACGUGGAGCGGCCAAAGGAAGAGAGAGAGAGAGAGUAGGAAAGAGUGAGCGAAGAAGGUGUCUGUCUGUAAUAAGAGGAAGAAAAAGAUGAGAUGAAAGAUGGAUAGAGAGAGAAUUGUAAGACAUUGAUAGAAACAUUGAUGGAUUGGAAAAGAAAAAGAAGAAAAAUCAAAAAGAUGUUGGCAAUUGUUUUGAAUUCUAGUCAAAGAGUGAAUGUUAUAUGUUUUUAUGCUUAAAAAACAAAAAAACCAUUCGAAUGUAAGAAAUGGUUUGAAGCAAUAUAGCCAGCGAAUAAAAAAUAAAAAAUAAAAAAUAAAAGGAAAAACCGUUCGAUUCAAAGCAAAGUACAAACAAAGCCACAAAAGGAUCUUACUAAUAACGAAUGCUACAAAAAACUAGACCAACUAACUAAACAAGUAGCAAAGGGAUAUAAAGAGGUACAGCGAAGUCACUGAAAAGAUGAAGAUAACGAGAUAUACAGAUGUCAUUAAAAGAGUGGUAUAACGAAAUAUAGUGAUAUCACAAACCCACAGAAUUUUAGGGCUGGUAAGAAAAGUAAAGAGAAGAAAAACAAAACAAAAGAAUAAAAAAAACAAAAAAACAAACAAAAGGAAAGGCUGAUGUGCAUAUAGUCUCAAAAGUCAAUCGAGUUUAGUUUUACUUUUUCAUGAGCAUCUAGCAUUUGCUCUUGUUUUGUGUUCGGCCGUCUGACUGUUUGGAUGAGGAAGAAGAAAAUUUUGUAGGGCGGCCGUGAAAGAAAAGGAAACAAAGGAAAAAUUAAAAGAAAAU
Molecule: non-coding RNA, 1280 nt
Organism: Schizosaccharomyces pombe (fission yeast)
Lineage: Eukaryota; Fungi; Ascomycota; Schizosaccharomycetes; Schizosaccharomycetales; Schizosaccharomycetaceae
Source: the annotation of a GenBank genome assembly